Long non-coding RNA from Macadamia integrifolia, 2215 nucleotides. RefSeq lists it as uncharacterized. NCBI's taxonomy places the organism in Eukaryota, Viridiplantae, Streptophyta, Magnoliopsida, Proteales, Proteaceae. The transcript has 2 exons. The record is from RefSeq and is a predicted model, not a curated record.
UUUCACUGAGGUUCUCCCAAAUAAUGGAGAAAUUCUCACUGCAUUCAAGAGUGCCUUCCCUGUUGGUGAGGUGGCCAUUCGGCCUCAUCAUGGAAUUACUGUGACAACGGUUAUAAGAGUGAUAACGGUCACAAGAAGGAGAAAUUUGGGGGCGAUUCCGUUGAUUGGAAAAGAGCCGUUUAUCAACGGAUCUAUUGGCUCUAUAAAAGAGCUGGAAAAUAUACAGAGGAAAUCAAUAAGUUGGAGCCCCAAAAAUCUUGCGCUAUCUCCGGUUUUGAUUCUUCUCUUCUGUCUCCAUAGUACAACAUAGCAAUCCACAGAAUCCAUGAAUCCCACUGGUUUAUACAUGAUGAUCUUCAACAUAUGAACAACAGAAACCCACAAAUCCCAACAAGAACAAACAUAAGUUUUAUGUGAUCCUGCCAAAAAUUUCAUGGCGGAACUCUAGUCAAGAUGUCUCUGGAGUUGGAAGUCAAUUCGUAUAACUGUUAAGAAUCUAUUGGAUUAGUUUUAUUCAAUUCAGAUCUCGACUUAGAGACCUUGCCAAACCCUAGUUCAAAUCGGUGAUAACUUUCCUUAAGAACUGUCAUGUUUCGACUGAGUUAGAGCUUUAAUUGUUUAGUCACAUUAGCAGUAAUAAAUGAUGCCGACACUUCUUCAUCAAAGACAAUAGCAACAGUUCUUGGAAAAUCCCUAUUCGAUUUCACCUAGUUCUGCAAGUGGUUAUCGAAGAUCUAUGCCACCUUUCGGCCGUACUGGUUUGCUCAUUUUGUUGUCUCUUACGGUAGUUCUAGGAAUUCUUCAUGUAGCCUUCGCAAAUGAACGGAGCAGAGCAGAGCAAGCGACCACAGGUUAUAUUCAUCAGAGCAGUAGUUGUCAAUUUAGGGAUUGUCAUAUUCCAAUCUCUGCUUUACUAAUUGGGGACGAAGGGCAUUAUAGUAACUUAACAUACCCAUAAAGGUAAAUUGGCCAUUUAGUGAAAAAAUGUCUGAUGACAUCAUCACUUAACUCCUUAAACCUAACGGAAUGAGUUUUUUAGAUAUAAUUUUGAAAAAAUGAGGGGUCUACUAGACAUUAUUUUUAUUUUCACAUGUUACGUCAAGUUAUUUUCAAAUUUAGGGGUGAUACUGGAUAAUUUCCCAUAAUAAAAGGAAAAAACUAUUUUUUUAAUCAUUGGCAUGCGUUUUAGGUAGUGGCCAGAAACAAAUAGAUUCGAAAAGACGUUGCUACCCUUAUCCGGAUGCUUCCAUGUGACUUUUCAUUUUCCUGACAUAAUAGCCAUGGAAGGGAUCAGGGUCUCUCUCUCUCUCUCUCUCUCUCUCUAUAUAUAUAUAUAUAUAUAUAUAUAAAUACACAACUCAUUGAUAAUCGACAUAUGUGAACGGAUCAGGUUCACAUAUAAGAAUGUUUUAAUACACUCCUAAUCUGUGGUUAUAGAAUCUAUUAAAUGAAGAGAGAGAAAAUCGAUUCUAUAUCUACGGAUCAAGAUCGUUCUCAUAUAUUCUUGUACGUAAACUUGACCCGCUCACUCUACAUGUGGCCUAAGAAACCGAGUGAGAAAAGGUUUGAAACCCACUAAACAUAUUAUAGAUAUUAAAUUUUAAAAGAUAAUGUUUAAAAUAAUAACAAAUGAAAGGGUUCGUUAGACUGUGAGAAAUUAUACUAUUAAAAAAUGACAUUUUUUAAAACCAUUGGCACAGUCAAAAAGUCACAAAGUGACAAAACUAUAUAUAUAUAUAUAUUAUUCAAGCUUUUUUUUUUCUUAGGUGUAGAAGAGCUUAUUUAUUGAAGCGAGCAUAGCGUUUGCAAUCUGAUUUACAUAAAUCAGAAAUCCGGAAAGUGAAAGCAGGCCGACUUGCCUAGGAUUGAGCUUCUAUGUGAUGCAACAUAAUGUCCAGUACGUAUUCAACGAUCAGAUACAUUUUGAUAUGGAGUCCAAGACAGUCGCACACAGCCCAAGGCAUUUUUAGGCGUUGGAAGUACGCUCCUAGAGAAGGGGUCGGCCAUGUUUCUGUUCUCCCUUAAAAAAAUGAGUGAAAAAACAUGAUGUGAGGAAGGUUAUCAAAUAUUUGUUAUCUUGUAUGAUAUUAGCAAUAUCAAUAGGGAUUGGAUGUUCUUCCUUGUUCAAGAGGACAGGUAUUAGACAGGGCUACAGUGUACACAUAAUAAUAUUUGUAUUCUGCAACUAUAAUCGCUCAAUAUUUAUGCCCAAACA